CACUGUCACUCCUACGGGAGGCAGCAGUGAGGAAUAUUGGACAAUGGGCGCAAGCCUGAUCCAGCCAUGCCGCGUGCAGGAAGACUGCCCUAUGGGUUGUAAACUGCUUUUAUACGGGAAGAAACACUCCUUCGUGAGGGAGCUUGACGGUACCGUAAGAAUAAGGAUCGGCUAACUCCGUGCCAGCAGCCGCGGUAAUACGGAGGAUCCAAGCGUUAUCCGGAAUCAUUGGGUUUAAAGGGUCCGUAGGUGGAUAAUUAAGUCAGAGGUGAAAUCCUGCAGCUCAACUGUAGAAUUGCCUUUGAUACUGGUUAUCUUGAGUCAUUAUGAAGUGGUUAGAAUAUGUAGUGUAGCGGUGAAAUGCAUAGAUAUUACAUAGAAUACCAAUUGCGAAGGCAGAUCACUAAUAAUGUACUGACACUGAUGGACGAAAGCGUGGGGAGCGAACAGGAUUAGAUACCCUGGUAG
This 468-nucleotide ribosomal RNA is filed under the name uncultured bacterium. Its description in RNAcentral is "bacterial SSU rRNA". It matches the Rfam family "Bacterial small subunit ribosomal RNA", at positions 325 to 793 of the family's 1533-position model. The record is from RNAcentral.